CGGGGAUGUUUCCAUAACCGGCACUUGGCGAAAUUGCGGAUUUGUUUACAUCGGAAGUGAGCGUACGUGCGCCAGAAUAUGGUAACCCUGAUAAUUGUUGCAACCCACACAGGGAAUUUUCCUGAAGGAGGAAAAGGGAAAUUUUCUGUUUACUUUUCGAACAUUACGGUAAGAGAAAAUAAAGUUUGAAAGUCGCAAAUCAUUAUUAGUUCAUAUUUUCGCAAAACGUUUAUGGGGUUUAUUUUUCGAACAUUACGGUAAAAGAAAAUAAAGUUUUUUAUAUUUUCGCAACGAACAUUACGGAUUAUUACGGUUGAACUGCCCUUCAAUGAAAGCUUUUGCUCGAUGUGUGGCCUGUAAUAGCAAUAAAUGGGACUUUUGUGAACUGAAAUCUGUUAGGCUUUCCAAAAUCCAGAAAGCUGAUUAGGUGUGCAGAAGCAGCAGACUUGUAAAUGUGAAGGAGCUAUUUGCUUAGUUAUGCAGUAGAAUUCACCACCCUGCGGCAAGCUUCAUUAAAGCUGUGAACAGCCAAGCUAACCAUCUUCAGGGCAAGUAGCUGCAUCAAGCAAACCCAGUGACAUUCCAAAGAGGAAUGUCAGUCAAAAUAAAAACUUAAUACCUAAAUCUCGGAAAAUCAGACAAUUAAGCCACAAAUCUUGUGACCAAUUUUUCAGUUGCUGUGCUUAGUGCGAUAAAGUUAUAUGGCAAUAAACUGAAAAGCUAUGGCAGGUAUUCUAUUGUACCCUUUAAUGAAAUCAAUUUAAAGCAAGCUUAUCAUAUGAUAAGCAAAAUGAUUGUAUCAUUGGAUGGUAAUGAUUGCAUUGCUGGGUAUGCAGGCUAUGGUUCUACAAUGAGCCAAAUGUAAUAUCUCAGUAUGCUGUGACUAUUAAAAUUAUAAAUUAUGUAUUAUUACUUCAUAUUGGUCAUUAUGUUCCAAAAUAAAUGCUCUUUUUAUAUAGAACUAUAUAAAUGUAGAAAAUCUGAGAAGUUAAUUUUAUAUGGAAAGCCUUCGUGCAAAAUUAAUAGCAUCUUGUUAAUUUCAUAUAUGUUUUGUGAAAGUAAUUGCUGCUGAAUCUAGAAUUAAUGCAUUAUCUGAGAUUUGAGACAAAAUUUGUCAAAUUAGAAGAUAGUGAAAUAGAUAAAUAGGAAAUGAAACAUGAAAUUUAUAUAUUUAAUAUUGAAAUAAAUAUCUCAGUAAAGUGGCUGUAUGUAAAGUAUAAUGAUGCAAUUUUUAUAAUUUUUUACUAAAAUGCUAAAAUUAUGUGCUAUGAAAAUUUUAUUUUCAUUAAUAUUUA
Molecule: long non-coding RNA, 1295 nt
Organism: Stegodyphus dumicola
Lineage: Eukaryota; Metazoa; Arthropoda; Arachnida; Araneae; Eresidae
Source: RefSeq, a predicted model, not a curated record